This 492-nucleotide ribosomal RNA is filed under the name uncultured bacterium. RNAcentral's name for it is "partial 16S ribosomal RNA". It matches the Rfam family "Bacterial small subunit ribosomal RNA", at positions 29 to 507 of the family's 1533-position model. The record is from RNAcentral.
AGUGAACGCUGGCGGUAGGCCUAACACAUGCAAGUCGAACGGCAGCACAGUAAGGGCUUGCUCUUACGGGUGGCGAGUGGCGGACGGGUGAGGAAUACAUCGGAAUCUACUUUUUCGUGGGGGAUAACGUAGGGAAACUUACGCUAAUACCGCAUACGACCUACGGGUGAAGGCAGGGGAUCUUCGGACCUUGCGCGAUUGAAUGAGCCGAUGUCGGAUUAGCUAGUUGGCGGGGUAAAGGCCCACCAAGGCGACGAUCCGUAGCUGGUCUGAGAGGAUGAUCAGCCACACUGGAACUGAGACACGGUCCAGACUCCUACGGGAGGCAGCAGUGGGGAAUAUUGGACAAUGGGCGCAAGCCUGAUCCAGCCAUACCGCGUGGGUGAAGAAGGCCUUCGGGUUGUAAAGCCCUUUUGUUGGGAAAGAAAAGCAGCAGGUUAAUACCCCGCUGUUCUGACGGUACCCAAAGAAUAAGCACCGGCUAACUUCGUG